Molecule: ribosomal RNA, 577 nt
Filed under: Colletotrichum sp. ITCC 5255
Lineage: Eukaryota; Fungi; Ascomycota; Sordariomycetes; Glomerellales; Glomerellaceae
Description: eukaryotic LSU rRNA
Rfam family: 5.8S ribosomal RNA (bases 215-368)
Source: RNAcentral
CGUAACAAGGUCUCCGUUGGUGAACCAGCGGAGGGAUCAUUACUGAGUUUACGCUCUAUAACCCUUUGUGAACAUACCUAUAACUGUUGCUUCGGCGGGUAGGGUCUCCGUGACCCUCCCGGCCUCCCGCCCCCGGGCGGGUCGGCGCCCGCCGGAGGAUAACCAAACUCUGAUUUAACGACGUUUCUUCUGAGUGGUACAAGCAAAUAAUCAAAACUUUUAACAACGGAUCUCUUGGUUCUGGCAUCGAUGAAGAACGCAGCGAAAUGCGAUAAGUAAUGUGAAUUGCAGAAUUCAGUGAAUCAUCGAAUCUUUGAACGCACAUUGCGCCCGCCAGCAUUCUGGCGGGCAUGCCUGUUCGAGCGUCAUUUCAACCCUCAAGCUCUGCUUGGUGUUGGGGCCCUACAGCUGAUGUAGGCCCUCAAAGGUAGUGGCGGACCCUCCCGGAGCCUCCUUUGCGUAGUAACUUUACGUCUCGCACUGGGAUCCGGAGGGACUCUUGCCGUAAAACCCCCAAUUUUCCAAAGGUUGACCUCGGAUCAGGUAGGAAUACCCGCUGAACUUAAGCAUAUCAAUA